This is an RNA transcript of Pteropus alecto (black flying fox), 4322 nucleotides long. It is a transcript of the gene named coiled-coil domain containing 9, with no coding region annotated. The transcript is spliced from 18 exons. The record is from RefSeq and is a predicted model, not a curated record. Lineage: Eukaryota; Metazoa; Chordata; Mammalia; Chiroptera; Pteropodidae.
AGCGGGGCCAGAUCAAUGACGCGGGCCUGUGGGCGGGGCCAGAAAGUUCAUCCCGGCAGGGGGCGGGGCCGUGGUGUUCCGGCUCGGGUCGAGGCUGGGGCUUUUCGCUGGAAAUCCGCGGGUGGUCCGGGAAGUUUUGUCCGCGUCGGGGAGGGGAGAAUAUUCACUGUGGAGGUCGGGUCUGGCCCAAGAAGUCUCGCCAGAACCCCCAGUGCUGUGUCCAGAUUCUGCAGGGGAGGGUCACUGGGACUGUGGCCCUACCAAGCUAGUGGAAUGUCAGCCACGCUGGAUCUGAAAUCGAAGGAAGAGAAGGAUGCCGAGUUGGACAAGAGGAUCGAGGCUCUUCGGCGGAAGAAUGAGGCCCUCAUCCGGCGCUACCAGGAGAUUGAAGAGGACCGUAAAAAAGCUGAACUCGAGGGUGUAGCUGUGACAGCUCCCCGGAAGGGCCGCUUGUUGGAGAAGGAGAAUGUGGCAGUUGAGGUGGAGAAGAACCACGGUCCCUCCAGGAGGUCUCCUGGGACCCCUCGGCCCCCAGGGGCCAGCAGAGGAGGCCGGGCUGCCCCUCAGCAGGGAGGCCGGGCAGGCGUGGGCCGGACAUCCCGCAGCUGGGAGGACAGUCCUGGGGAGCAGCCUCGAGGAGGGGCUGGGGGCCGCGGCCGGAGGGGCCGGGGCAGGGGGUCCCCUCAUCUCUCUGGAGCUGGAGAUGCCUCAACUGCCGAUCGCAGAUCCAAGGAGUGGGAGGAGCGGCGCAGGCAGAACAUCGAGAAGAUGAACGAGGAGAUGGAGAAGAUCGCGGAGUAUGAGCGCAACCAGCGGGAAGGCGUGCUGGAGCCCAACCCCGUGCGGAACUUCCUGGACGACCCCCGGCGGCGCGGCGGGCCCCUGGAGGAGCCGGAGAGGGACCGGCGGGAGGGCAGCCGCCGGCACGGGCGCAACUGGGGCGGCCCCGACUUCGAGCGCGUGCGCUGCGGCCUUGAGCAGGAGCGGCAGGGCCGCCGUGCUGGCCCGGGCAGUGCUGGGGACAUGACGCUGUCUAUGACCGGCCGGGAGCGGUCCGAGUACUUGCGCUGGAAGCAGGAGCGGGAGAAGAUCGACCAGGAGCGGCUGCAGAGACACCGCAAGCCCACCGGCCAGUGGCGGCGGGAGUGGGACGCCGAGAAGACCGAUGGCAUGUUCAAGGAUGGCCCAGCUGUUGCCCUUGAACCAUCCCAUCGCUAUGAUGAUCAGUCCUGGACCCGGCCCCCCAAGCCUCCCACUUUCAGGGAGUUCCUGUCCCAGCACAAAGCUGAGGUCAGCCGCAGGAAAAGGAAGAGCAGCCGACCCCAGGCCAAGGCAGCGCCCCGAGCCUACAGUGACCACGAUGACCGCUGGGAGACGAAGGAGGCAGCGGCCCCAGCCCCUGAAGCCCCACAGCCCACUCCCCCUGAGGAGACAACCACAAAGCCACCCGCGACCCCAGCCCCUGUCCACCGGCCUCCUGAGGAUCAGGGGGAGGAGGACGAUGGCGGGGAGGACGAAGGGGAAGAAGACGAGGGGGAGGAUGAGGAAUGGGAAGACGUGAGUGGGGACGAGGAGGUGGUUGAGGAGGAAGAAGAGGCUGAUGAGGAAGAGGAGGAAGAACCAGCCCAAGACCAGGAACCCCAAGAGCUGGAGCCCACUGGGAGGAGCCCCAGCAGUGAGCAGGCCGACAAAGAGCCUUCUGGGCCCGAGGAGCCCCCGCCGCUUCCCCAGGCCCCUGCCUCGCCUUCCAGCCCCUUCUCGCCCCCUGGGGGCCACCAGCCUGUGUCCGACUGGGGUGAAGAGAUGGAGCUGAAUUCUCCCCGGACCGCCCACCCGGCUGAUGCCCUAUCUCCGGGAGGUGACCAGCCAGUCCUUGCCUCCCUGGAGAGUGGGCCCAGCAUCCCAGGAACCCAGAAAGCCGAAGAGGAGGGGUCUGAGGCAGCUCCAGAGGCGGGCCCCGAGGGCCAGGAGACGGCGGAGAUCACCGACUUCCAGAGGGUGCGUUUCUGCAAGGUGGUGGCAGCUGCUCCACAACCGGGGGCCGCCCGCUGACCGCGCCCGCCGACUCUGCACUAACUUCCCGCCGCCUCGCUCCUCUGCCCUCUGCUUCCGCCACACUCCAGCCAGGAGAGGGUUAAAUGUAAGGGGGGAGGAGCCAAGGACAGCCAACGGGGUGGGGCCAGGGCAAUAGACCGGUCUCACAAGUGGGGGGCGCCCUGGCACCGGAACUGCUGGGACACACCCGAGUUACCCACCUAUGGAGGCCAUGGGGGCCCAAACCAUAUGGAGAGCCCACAUGUAGGCACUGAUUAAAAGUUUCAGCUCUGCUCCCACUUGACAGCCAGAAUCAACUGCCAGCCAUGUGUGUGAGCCUCCUGGGACGUCCAGCCCAGUGGAGCCUUCAAGUUCCCAGUGCCAUUGGAACCUGCUGGAGGGUGAGAGACUGCACCGAGUACACCUAAGGCUGGCAUCCAGCCAACUCUCAGAAACAGAGCCAUUUAUCCAGCCCACAGCUGACUGCGAUGCACGGAGGAGCUCACCCGAGACCCAAAGAACCAUCCAGCUGACCCAAAGGCCUUAUUAUCUCCACUUCAUUGGGUAUAGCUUCCUCCCAGCCAGACUGAGACAGCCGAGCCUCCUGGGCACGCUGACAAUUUUACACUUCAGGAAAGGAACUGCCCCAAACUGGAAACAACUCAGAUAAAUGUCUUUCAGCGGGCGAAGAGAUGAACAGAUGGUGACACAUCCAGGCAGUGGGCUACUACUCAGCUGUUCAGAGGAACUCGUGACGCACACGGUGACACGCACGAAAUGUAAACACAUUUUGCUGAGUGGAGGAAGUCAGAUCGAGAAGGCUGCGGACUGUGCGAUUCCAUUUCUAGGGCAUUCUGGGAAAGGCAGCCCUGGCCAUGGAGAAGAGAUCAGUGGUUGCCAGGGGUUACGGGCGGGGGAGGGGCCGGCUGCAAAGUGGCAGCCGGAGGGAAUUUUUUGGGGGUGAAGAAGCUGUUCUGGGUCUUGUUUGUGGGGAUGGUGACACGACUUGAAGCUUCUUUUUUUUAGCUUUGUCAAGACCCAUCGAACUGUAACACCACAAAGAGAGGAUUUUCUUGUAAGUUAGAAUAAAUUAGUAACAACUAAUUUCUUAGUUGACAUUUUAGAAUCAGAGAUGCUGUCUUCUUCACACACUUACAGCGUGAGAAUUCGAAACUUGUGGAAUUUUCAGAGUAAUCAUAAUAUAAGCUCCCAUUCUGAAUUCUGUCAGGGUUAACCCGUCUCACCUCAACCCGCUUCGGUCAUGGUGAAGUUCUGGGAGUGGCACCUUGCACUUGGCCACCGCUCGGUGAGUGUUGGCUAUUAUCAUUAUUGCUGGUGGUAGUGUUUUCCCACAGCCUUUGAGAGGUCUCUGCCCGAUGCAGCCUCUAGCUUUGUUCUCCAAGCCUCCCCUGGUGCUUGCUGACACCCUCUGGCUCUGAGGUUCAGGCGGUGACAGAAGCUCUGGUGAACUAUACUGCUCCUGCCUGUCACCACAUCCUGACUCGGAGGCUAGUGUGGCCACUGCAGAGGAGCCUCAGCAUAGAUGGGCAUCUGGCCAGCUCUGGGUUUCUUGUGGCCUCAGGCAGGGUGGUGUCACAGCAGCUUCUCUUUAAGAUGUGCUGAUGGCAGCCACCCACUCAGCCCAGUCCCUUUAGAUGGAGGUCAGGCUUUGCAUGGUGCUGGGGAACAGUGGAUACAAAACACGACGUGUGCCAUAUGCCACUUGGUCAUAGUCCUUUUCUGCUCCUUUCUAUUGUGUAAAUUUUAAGCCUCUCAGGUAAAAUUUAAAAAAAAAACACAAAAACUUUUAUUGACAUGCAUACAAAAUACAGACAGAAAAAUUCACAAAUCAUAAAAGUACAGCUUAAUGAACUUCCAGAGCUGACCAUCUCUGUGUCACCAACAACUGGAUCGAGAAAAAGAAUGUUUCCGGCCCCCAACCCCUACUCUGCCCCGAUGCUCCAAGUUCCUCCCCCUCACAAAUAACCUAUCCCGGGUCAUAACACCCAAAUCUAAUUUCGUCUGCUCUUGAACUUCAUAUGAACAGAAUUAUUCGGCGGGUAUGCUUUAGAGUCUGCCUGCUUUCUCUCAACAGAAUGGCCUCGAGAUUCAGCCAUGUUUGUUGCAGGUACUAGUUUUUUUACUAUCGGUUUUUCCCUUCUCCUUACUGCUACAUAGUACUCCAUUACACGAAUAUGCCGUUUAUUUACCCAUUCUACUGUUGAUGGACUUGACUUUCGGUUGGUUUCCAGUUGUUGGUUAUUAUGAGUAAAGCUGCUGUGAACAUU